AUAUAUGUGUGUGUAUAUAUACAUACAUAUAUAUGUGUAUACACACACACACACACACACACAUGUAUAGCAAUCA
RNAcentral lists this microRNA precursor (76 nucleotides) under Mustela putorius furo (domestic ferret). Its description in RNAcentral is "miRNA (ENSMPUG00000020252.1)". Lineage: Eukaryota; Metazoa; Chordata; Mammalia; Carnivora; Mustelidae. The record is from RNAcentral.